Molecule: non-coding RNA, 95 nt
Organism: Daldinia bambusicola
Lineage: Eukaryota; Fungi; Ascomycota; Sordariomycetes; Xylariales; Hypoxylaceae
Source: the annotation of a GenBank genome assembly
UCUCGAUUCGUCUAGUGGUUAGGAUACCUGCUUGUCACUUCGUUAAUUUGUAUGAUAAAUCGCAGGUGGCCGGGGUUCAAUUCCCCGAUCGAGAG